CGUUCUCUCAGGUUCUGGCUCGGCCCCCGGAAUUUGGCCAGAACCCUUUCAGCCGGCUCGAUCCGAGCCGGUUUUUUUUU
Molecule: non-coding RNA, 80 nt
Filed under: Caballeronia concitans
Lineage: Bacteria; Pseudomonadati; Pseudomonadota; Betaproteobacteria; Burkholderiales; Burkholderiaceae
Description: Burkholderia sRNA 54
Rfam family: Burkholderia sRNA 54
About the family: Identified by RNA-seq, RACE and Northern blot. Strongly expressed in biofilm.
Source: Rfam by way of RNAcentral